GUGUGACGUAUAAUCUAGUGGACGGGACGCUCCUUCAACAACAACAGUUAGACACCUCGGUAGCUUUAUAGCAAACAUAGCUACAACAUUCACUCUCUUUACACUGUUUUGGUGUAUAUUAGUCGCUGUGUAUUAAACACACUUCUGUCGUAUGUACGUGUUGCUCCAUUUAAUUAUAUAUUUACGUUGUUUGUCAGCUAGCUGGUUUGCUAAAUUAGCUUAGAACUAGGCUAGUUGCUAAUGCUAGCUAGCGAACAUCUCCGACCAUGAGUUCACUAAGCUGCUCUCCUCCUGCUAAAGAAGAGGAGGUCUUCUGGACGGAGAAAGAAGCUCUCCUGAAAGAGGAGGAGGAAGAGAAGUUUGUUACAAUACAAAAACAAGUAGAGGGUGAGGCUGUUACCGUGAAAGAAGAAGAGAAAGACGUUUCAGUGAAAGAAAAGGAAGACUCGUCCAGAGUGAAAGAGGAGGAGGAUGUUACAGUAAAAGAAGAGGAAGCGGAGAGAGAGGAGGAUGCAGUUUUUGGAGUGAAAGAGGGGGAGGGGGAGAUGACUCUCACAUCGAAAAAGGAGGAGGAGGACGAAGAGGAGGAAACUGGACAUCUGGGCCCGGUUUCCCAAACGCAUCUUAAGGCAUCCUAUGGUUCUGAUGGUGAACUCAGCCGUAAGAUGGUUUUGAGAAACUGGGCCGUGAUUAACACUAGAGAGAGACGUGACUAUCGUGGAUCCUCUGGGGAGCCUCAACAACAUCAUGAAGCUGACGAGGCAGAGAAGAGUCCCUCCCGAUCAGAACACCUCAAGAAACACCAAUGGAGACCAACAGGGAAGAAAUCUCACUGCUGGUCUGACUGUGGGAAGAGUUACUUAAGAUUAAAUUAACUAAAAGUACACAUGAGAAUUCACACAGGAGAGAAACCUUACAGCUGUGAUCAAUGUGGGAAGAGUUUUACUCAGUCAAGCAGCCUGUUAUCACACCAGAGAACACACACAUGAGAUAAAUCUUAUAGCUGUUAUCAAUGUGGGAAGAGUUUUACUCAGUCAAGCAACCUGGUAUCACACCAGAGAACACACACAGGAGAGAAACCUUAUAGCUGUGAUCAAUGUGGGAAGAGUUUUACUUCAUCUAGCCAUCAGAUUGUACACCAGAGAACACACACAGGAGAGAAACCUUAUAGCUGUGAUCAAUGUGGGAAGAGUUUUACUUCAUCUAGCCAUCAGAUUGUACACCAGAGAACACACACAGGAGAGAAACCUUAUAGCUGUUAUCAAUGUGGGAAGAGUUUUACUCAGUCAAGCAACCUAGUAUCACACCAGAGAACACACACAGGAGAGAAACCUUAUAGCUGUGAUCAAUGUGGGAAGAGUUUUUCUUCAUCUAGCCAUCAGAUUGUACACCAGAGAACACACACAGGAGAGAAACCUUAUAGCUGUUAUCAAUGUGGGAAGAGUUUUACUCAGUCAAGCAACCUGGUAUCACACCAGAGAACACACACAGGAGAGAAACCUUAUAGCUGUGAUCAAUGUGGGAAGAGUUUUACUUCAUCUAGUCAUCUGAUUAUACACCAGAGAACACACACAGGAGAGAAAUCUCAUAGCUGUGAUCAAUGUGACAAGAGAUACUCUGAUAAAAGAUCUCUGAUCAAACAUCAGAAAAUACAUUAAUGAAGGAGUUGUUUCAUGAUAUCAAUGAAUUAAUGUCACAAUGUAGAAUGUUUAAACAUUGUAGUAGGAGUAUUUUAAUGAUGUCACAAUGUAGAAUGUUUAAACAUUGUAGAAGGAGUAUUUUAAUGAUGUCACAAUGUAGAAUGUUUAAACAUUGUAGAAGGAGUAUUUUAAUGAUGUCACAAUGUAGAAUGUUUAAACAUUGUAGAAGGAGUAUUUUAAUGAUGUCACAAUGUAGAAUGUUUAAACAUUGUAGAGGGAGUAUUUUAAUGAUGUCACAAUGUAGAAUGUUUAAACAUUGUAGAGGGAGUAUUUUAAUGAUGUCACAAUGUAGGAUGUUUAAACAUUGUAGUGGGAGUAUUUUAAUGAUGUCACAAUGUAGAAUGUUUAAACAUUGUAGUGGGAGUAUUUUAAUGAUGUCACAAUGUAGAAUGUUUAAACAUUGUAGUGGGAGUAUUUUAAUGAUGUCACAAUGUAGAAUGUUUAAACAUUGUAGUGGGAGUAUUUUAAUGAUGUCACAAUGUAGAAUGUUUAAACAUUGUAGAAGGAGUAUUUUAAUGAUGUCACAGUGUAGAAUGUUUAAACAUUGUAGUAGGACUAUUUUAAUGAUGUCACAGUGUAGAAUGUUUAAACAUUGUAGAAUGAGUAUUUUAAUGAUGUCACAAUGUAGAAUGUUUAAACAUAGUAGGAGUAUUUUAAUGAUGUCACAAUGUAGAAUGUUUAAACAUUGUAGAAGGAGUAUUUUAAUGAUGUCACAAUGUAGAAUGUUUAAACAUUGUAGUAGGAGUAUUUUAAUGAUGUCACAAUGUAGAAUGUUUAAACAUUGUAGAAUGAGUAUUUUAAUGAUGUCACAAUGUAGAAUGUUUAAACAUAGUAGGAGUAUUUUAAUGAUGUCACAAUGUAGAAUGUUUAAACAUUGUAGUAGGAGUAUUUUAAUGAUGUCACAAUGUAGAAUGUUUAAACAUUGUAGAAGGAGUAUUUUAAUGAUGUCACAAUGUAGAAUGUUUAAACAUUGUAGAAGGAGUAUUUUAAUGAUGUCACAAUGUAGAAUGUUUAAACAUUGUAGUAGGAGUAUUUUAAUGAUGUCACAAUGUAGAAUGUUUAAACAUUGUAGAAGGAGUAUUUUAAUGAUGUCACAAUGUAGAAUGUUUAAACAUUGUAGUAGGAGUAUUUUAAUGAUGUCACAGUGUAGAAUGUUUAAACAUUGUAGAAGGAGUAUUUUAAUGAUGUCACAAUGUAGAACACUAAACGUUUGCCCCCUGUUCAAUUGAUUUCUGCAUAAUAUGGAUAUUAUCCUCAUGGGGGAAAAUCCAGGCUCUGAAUUGAAAGAGUGAUAUUUAUAUGAUAUAACAGAAAGUGACUAACACAAAAAGAGCUGUGUUACACUUACAGCAUUGGUGACCCACUGGAAUCAAAAUGUAGCUAGAUGUUUUCUACAAGUUGUCCUCUAACCAGUGAUGUACACAUUAUUCCCAGAUUCCAUGUGAUUUUUGAGCUGUUAGUUUUAACAGGACAACCUCAUCUCCAGACUCUCACACAAAUGAUUUCAACAUGAUAUCGAUGAGUGAUGAAAAAUAAGUGUUGCGUUCCUUUGUUUAACGACCUCUAAAUGUAAAUGCAUCUCUCCAAAAUGUAGCUGACUGUCUUCUGCAGGUUGUCCUCUAACCAGGGAGGUAAAAUAUAUCUCCCAUUUCCAUGUGUUUUUAGUUGUGUUAGUUUCAACAGCACCAACAACCUGAUUUCCCCCUAAUUGAUAUCAGUGAUUUAUUGCUACUUGUCAAAACAACAGUGUUUCUGGUGCUCCUGCAUUUUAAAAGGUGCUUGUUUAAGUAAUAUGACUAUUGUUGCAGAUGUUUGUGCAGAUGGUACAUUUUAUGUUUAGGUUUUCAAUAUCACAAAUGGUUUCUGCAUAUUGGUUAUUAAUUUGGACACAUUAAAGCUGUGUUUUGACA
This is a long non-coding RNA of Oncorhynchus nerka (sockeye salmon), 3610 nucleotides long. RefSeq lists it as uncharacterized. NCBI's taxonomy places the organism in Eukaryota, Metazoa, Chordata, Actinopteri, Salmoniformes, Salmonidae. The transcript is spliced from 2 exons. The record is from RefSeq and is a predicted model, not a curated record.